RNAcentral lists this ribosomal RNA (295 nucleotides) under uncultured bacterium. RNAcentral's name for it is "partial 16S ribosomal RNA". It matches the Rfam family "Bacterial small subunit ribosomal RNA", at positions 333 to 645 of the family's 1533-position model. The record is from RNAcentral.
UUACGCCUACGGGGCGCAGCAGUAGGGAAUAUUGCUCAAUGGGGGAAACCCUGAAGCAGCGACGCCGCGUGGAGGAUGAAGGUUUUCGGAUUGUAAACUCCUUUUGUUAGAGAAGAUAAUGACGGUAUCUAACGAAUAAGCACCGGCUAACUCCGUGCCAGCAGCCGCGGUAAUACGGAGGGUGCAAGCGUUACUCGGAAUCACUGGGCGUAAAGAGUGCGUAGGCGGGGUAAUAAGUCAGAUGUGAAAUCCUGUAGCUUAACUACAGAACUGCAUUUGAAACUGUUACUCUGGA